AUUAAAGAUGCAGGAGCGCUUUUGGGCUGGACUGCCCCUCUUCAGCUGCACAGAGAAAGUUAAGAAAAGAUAUGUCAAAAAGCUCAAAUAGUUAAUGAAAACUCAACCAUUGGAUCAUCCAAAGACUCAUGAUUUCUCGGUUGAAGUCGUUUCCUACUGCCCCCAAGACAUACCUGUUUUCAUCAAGGAAGCAUUAAGGUUUGGCCCAAACUCUGUCAUAGACUACCAGUGCAGCUUAGCUGAUACCAUUUGUGGAAUAAAAAAUCUCCUCACUGCCUUUGACUUCACUGAUGUCAAGAAACAAAAACGAGGUGGAUGGCAGUCCAUUCAUAUUUUAAAUCCAGAAGUUGGCCUAAUACAGAUCAUCUCGUGACUAAAAGAAUGAACAGUACAUAGAACAGGCUCACACAUGGCUAACUAAGGAGCAAAUCAUUGCAACUAGAGCCAACAAAAACAAAAAUAUUGUUCUUAUCCCUAAACUGGAAUAUCACAGACUACUCACUUUCUCUGUGCAGUUGAGGAGGGGCGGUCCAGCCAGGAGCGCUCCUGCAUCUUUGAUUUUAUUUUGAGGUCCU
This 575-nucleotide long non-coding RNA is filed under the name Androctonus crassicauda. The record is from RNAcentral. Lineage: Eukaryota; Metazoa; Arthropoda; Arachnida; Scorpiones; Buthidae.